CACGUAGGGCGCAAGCGUUGUCCGGAAUUAUUGGGCGUAAAGAGCUCGUGGGCGGUCGGUUGCGUCCGCUGGGAAAACUCGGGGCUUAACCCCGAGCCUGCAGUGGAUACGGGCAGACUAGAGGUAGGUAGGGGAGAAUGGAAUUCCUGGUGUAGCGGUGGAAUGCGCAGAUAUCAGGAGGAACACCGAUAGCGAAGGCAGCUCGCUGGGACGGUACUGACGCUGAGGUGCGAAAGCGUGGGGAGCGAACAGG
This 253-nucleotide ribosomal RNA is filed under the name uncultured bacterium. RNAcentral describes it as "partial 16S ribosomal RNA". It matches the Rfam family "Bacterial small subunit ribosomal RNA", at positions 524 to 776 of the family's 1533-position model. The record is from RNAcentral.